This is a long non-coding RNA of Cyprinus carpio (common carp), 370 nucleotides long. RefSeq lists it as uncharacterized. Lineage: Eukaryota; Metazoa; Chordata; Actinopteri; Cypriniformes; Cyprinidae. The transcript is spliced from 3 exons. The record is from RefSeq and is a predicted model, not a curated record.
UUUUUUUUUUAAAUGUUUUUUGACACUCAUGGUUAAUUAAUAUAUUUAUUUUUUGUCAUUUAAGGUUGCCGGAAAUGCAGUAGGCAAAAAGUUUUCAAAUACGACUCCAUAACAGGAAGAAGGAUAAAUGAGGGGCAAGCAGAAGUAAGGGUGAAAUGGUUACCUUGCUCUGCAUGUGGAAAAAUCUGGGAGGAGACAUGGGAGCCGGCCUGCCAGUUCUCACCAGGUGUCAAGCAUGUGUGACGUCACCCAUUCAUCUACAAUUCAGUAUGAGUUGAAUACCUGCUAUGAGUUGUCGAGUUCGCUGUUACGGCACAGCCAUCCUGUUUGCGCAUGUGAUGAUUUUAGAUAAGAAGGAGGAGCCACGUUA